GAGUUCCGGGCCAUGAUGGAGAACGCGGCUUAGGCGCGCACCAGCUACGACACCGGGUUUCCAGUACUAUACCAGUUUAGUGUUUAAUUAAAUUACUGGAAUACCGUUUAUUACUUUCUUUGAUUACUCGUUUUGUCGAUCGGAAAAGUUGGCUGAUGACUUUCUGAUAAUCACCUUUUGUCCAUCCUGUUGAGUGUCUGAGUUUCAUGUCCUCGGUUAGCAAAGUGUUUGUUUAACCAGUCCAAUAAUAUUCUUUGCAAGCACUCCAUCCGUUUUAUAUUACGG
Molecule: long non-coding RNA, 285 nt
Filed under: Oryza brachyantha (malo sina)
Lineage: Eukaryota; Viridiplantae; Streptophyta; Magnoliopsida; Poales; Poaceae
Description: long non-coding RNA (OBRA_LNC000973)
Source: RNAcentral